Molecule: ribosomal RNA, 253 nt
Filed under: uncultured bacterium
Lineage: Bacteria
Description: partial 16S ribosomal RNA
Rfam family: Bacterial small subunit ribosomal RNA
Source: RNAcentral
UACAGAGGGCUCAAGCGUUGUUCGGAUUCAUUGGGCGUAAAGGGUGCGUAGGUGGCGCUGUAAGUCAGUCGUGAAAUUUCGGAGCUUAACUCCGAAACUGCAUUUGAUACUACGGUGCUUGAGGACUGGAGAGGAGACUGGAAUUCACGGUGUAGCAGUGAAAUGCGUAGAGAUCGUGAGGAAGACCAGUGGCGAAGGCGGGUCUCUGGACAGUUCCUGACACUGAGGCACGAAGGCCAGGGGAGCAAACGGG